UACGAAGGGUGCAAGCGUUACUCGGAAUUACUGGGCGUAAAGCGUGCGUAGGUGGUUUGUUAAGUCUGCUGUGAAAUCCCCGGGCUCAACCUGGGAAUGGCAGUGGAUACUGGCAAGCUAGAGUGCGGUAGAGGGUAGGUGGAAUUCCCGGUGUAGCGGUGAAAUGCGUAGAGAUCGGGAGGAACACCAGUGGCGAAGGCGGCUACCUGGACCAGCACUGACACUCAGGCACGAAAGCGUGGGGAGCAAACAGG
RNAcentral lists this ribosomal RNA (254 nucleotides) under uncultured bacterium. RNAcentral's name for it is "partial 16S ribosomal RNA". It matches the Rfam family "Bacterial small subunit ribosomal RNA", at positions 524 to 776 of the family's 1533-position model. The record is from RNAcentral.